RNAcentral lists this ribosomal RNA (292 nucleotides) under uncultured bacterium. RNAcentral's name for it is "partial 16S ribosomal RNA". It matches the Rfam family "Bacterial small subunit ribosomal RNA", at positions 505 to 796 of the family's 1533-position model. The record is from RNAcentral.
GUGCCAGCAGCCGCGGUAAUACGAAGGGUGCGAGCGUUAUUCGGAAUCACUGGGCGUAAAGGGUGCGUAGAUGGUAUGUUAAGUUCGUUGUUAAAGGCUCCGGCCUAACCGGAGUAUUGCGAUGAAAACUGGCACACUAGAGGGUGAGAGAGAGAAGUGGAAUUCCCGGAGUAGCGGUAAAAUGCGUGGAUCUCGGGAGGAACACCAAUGGCGAAGGCAGCUUCUUGGCUCAUUCCUGACAUUGAGGCACGAAAGCGUGGGGAGCAAACAGGAUUAGAAACCCGCGUAGUCC